AUCAGAUGGUAGGGCGGUUAGGAGCGGGAGCAUGGCGUCUGUCCGAGUGUGAAUGCGCGUGCGAGGUUGUCCUAAAAGACCCUACUGAAACAGCCUUCCAGUUCAUGAUGUUCAGUGCUAUAGACUUGUGUUUUAAUUCCACAAACUUUCCAAUAUACGCAAAUACAAUCAGUGUCUAGUCUGAUGUCUGUGAGAGAGACAGAGAUAUUGAAGCACACACAAAGACACUGUCUUUCCAGUCCAGCUGUGAGAGACUCCUG
Sinocyclocheilus anshuiensis is the source of this 260-nucleotide long non-coding RNA. RefSeq lists it as uncharacterized. The record is from RefSeq and is a predicted model, not a curated record. Lineage: Eukaryota; Metazoa; Chordata; Actinopteri; Cypriniformes; Cyprinidae. The transcript has 3 exons.